GAACCGUGCGAACGUUGUUCGGAAUCACUGGGCUUAAAGGGCGCGUAGGCGGGCUCGCCAGUCUGUGGUGAAAUCCUCCAGCCCAACUGGAGAAUGGCCGUGGAUACUGCGAGUCUCGAGGGAGGUAGGGGCGUGCGGAACAGAUGGUGGAGCGGUGAAAUGCGUUGAUAUCAUCUGGAACUCCGGUGGCGAAGGCGGCACGCUGGACCUCUUCUGACGCUGAGGCGCGAAAGCCAGGGGAGCAAACGGGAUUAGAUACCCCGGUAGUCCUGGCCCUAAACGUUGGGUACUAGAUAGUAGCCUUCACAUGGGGUUACUGUCGGAGCAAAAGUGCUAAGUACCCCGCCUGGGGAGUAUGGUCGCAAGGCUGAA
RNAcentral lists this ribosomal RNA (372 nucleotides) under uncultured bacterium. RNAcentral's name for it is "bacterial SSU rRNA". It matches the Rfam family "Bacterial small subunit ribosomal RNA", at positions 527 to 898 of the family's 1533-position model. The record is from RNAcentral.